RNAcentral lists this ribosomal RNA (494 nucleotides) under uncultured bacterium. Its description in RNAcentral is "partial 16S ribosomal RNA". It matches the Rfam family "Bacterial small subunit ribosomal RNA", at positions 899 to 1397 of the family's 1533-position model. The record is from RNAcentral.
ACUCAAAUGAAUAGACGGGGACCCGCACAAGCGGUGGAUGAUGUGGAUUAAUUCGAUGCAACGCGAAAAACCUUACCUACCCUUGACAUGUCCGGAACCCCGCUGAGAGGCGGGGGUGCUCGAAAGAGAAUCGGAACACAGGUGCUGCAUGGCUGUCGUCAGCUCGUGUCGUGAGAUGUUGGGUUAAGUCCCGCAACGAGCGCAACCCUUGUCAUUAGUUGCUACGAAAGAGCACUCUAAUGAGACUGCCGGUGACAAACCGGAGGAAGGUGGGGAUGACGUCAAGUCCUCAUGGCCCUUAUGGGUAGGGCUUCACACGUCAUACAAUGGUCGGUACAGAGGGCUGCCAACCCGCGAGGGGGAGCUAAUCCCAGAAAACCGAUCGUAGUCCGGAUUGUAGUCUGCAACUCGACUACAUGAAGUCGGAAUCGCUAGUAAUCGCGGAUCAGCAUGUCGCGGUGAAUACGUUCCCGGGUCUUGCACACACCGCCCGU